AGGAAGAGGAAGGUCCUGUAGUUUCAUAAGACGCAGCGUGAGACUGGGGAAGUCAGUGUGUCACCGUGCUUGGACCUUUGCUGCCCGGUCUCUGGACUCGUUCACCAUCAGUCUCUUCCCACAAGAGAAUGUACAAAAUGAGGCCGAGGUUUCUCUGCAACAGUUUGCCAGCUGGUUUGAUGUUGGGUUUCUUGGUUUUCCUGCUUCGACCAGUUUCCACACAGAAAAACAGAAAUCGAAUGUAUUUCUUGGAUAAUGGAGA
This is a long non-coding RNA of Amblyraja radiata (thorny skate), 262 nucleotides long. RefSeq lists it as uncharacterized. Lineage: Eukaryota; Metazoa; Chordata; Chondrichthyes; Rajiformes; Rajidae. The transcript has 3 exons. The record is from RefSeq and is a predicted model, not a curated record.